UAAUACCGGAUAGAUCAAAGAUACUGGAAUGUUCCUUGAUCCAAAGCUCCGGCGUCCAAGGAUGGAUCUGCGGCCUAUCAGGUAGUAGUGGGUGUAACGUACCUACUAGCCUACGACGGGUACGGGUUGUGAGAGCAAGAGCCCGGAGAUGGAUUCUGAGACAUGAAUCCAGGCCCUACGGGGCGCAGCAGGCGCGAAAUCUUUACAAUGCAGGAAACUGCGAUAAGGGGACCCCGAGUGCCAGCAUCUAAUGCUGGCUGUCCAGCUGUGUAAAUAGCAGUUGUUAGCAAGGGCCGGGCAAGACCGGUGCCAGCCGCCGCGGUAACACCGGCGGCCCGAGUGGUAACCGAUUUUAUUGGGUUUAAAGGGUCCGUAGCCGGCCUGUUAAGUCUCUUGGGAAAUCUGGCGGCUCAAUCGUCAGGCGUCC
Molecule: ribosomal RNA, 427 nt
Filed under: uncultured archaeon
Lineage: Archaea
Description: bacterial SSU rRNA
Rfam family: Archaeal small subunit ribosomal RNA
Source: RNAcentral